Haliotis rubra (blacklip abalone) is the source of this 209-nucleotide long non-coding RNA. RefSeq lists it as uncharacterized. NCBI's taxonomy places the organism in Eukaryota, Metazoa, Mollusca, Gastropoda, Lepetellida, Haliotidae. The record is from RefSeq and is a predicted model, not a curated record. The transcript has 3 exons.
CGAAAACUGAACGAAUCUGGUUACAAUGCUCGCAACGAAAUCAUACUGCAGCAGUAACUGUUCCGCGUCAAGGGCGAAAAUGAGACACAAGAAUUCCGGCAGAUGCAAACAGAAGUGAUGGAUUUAUUGAGGAUUACAUCAAAUAAUCCAGGAGCUGUGAAUCAGUAAACAAAAAUGGAUAAAGUCAAAACCAAAGAAGAAGAUUCUGA